This 173-nucleotide non-coding RNA is filed under the name Acetobacterium woodii. Its description in RNAcentral is "Lysine sequence". It matches the Rfam family "Lysine riboswitch aptamer". From Rfam's summary of the family: Riboswitches are metabolite binding domains within certain messenger RNAs that serve as precision sensors for their corresponding targets. Allosteric rearrangement of mRNA structure is mediated by ligand binding, and this results in modulation of gene expression. Lineage: Bacteria; Bacillati; Bacillota; Clostridia; Eubacteriales; Eubacteriaceae. The record is from RNAcentral. RNAcentral also lists the same sequence under 1 other name.
AAUUAUGAUAGAGGCGCGAGCUUUAUAACUAACAACGAAGACCAUGGCAAAUGGGAUGAUACGUUGCGAAAGGAAAGAUCGCCGAAGGAUGAUGUUUCGCCACCAUUUUCCUGGGCUUGCUGUUAAGAACAGUAAGACUGUCAUCACAACAGUGAUGGGGUGCUAUCUAAAAC